RNAcentral lists this ribosomal RNA (253 nucleotides) under uncultured bacterium. RNAcentral describes it as "partial 16S ribosomal RNA". It matches the Rfam family "Bacterial small subunit ribosomal RNA", at positions 524 to 776 of the family's 1533-position model. The record is from RNAcentral.
GACGUAGGGCGCGAGCGUUGUCCGGAUUUAUUGGGCGUAAAGAGCUCGUAGGCGGCUUGUCGCGUCGAAUGUGAAAACCCGAGGCUCAACUUCGGGCUUGCAUUCGAUACGGGCAGGCUAGAGUUCGGUAGGGGAGACUGGAACUCCUGGUGUAGCGGUGAAAUGCGCAGAUAUCAGGAGGAACACCGGUGGCGAAGGCGGGUCUCUGGGCCGAUACUGACGCUGAGGAGCGAAAGCGUGGGGAGCACACAGG